UUGGAGGGCAAGUCUGGUGCCAGCAGCCGCGGUAAUUCCAGCUCCAAUAGCGUAUAUUAAAGUUGUUGCAGUUAAAAAGCUCGUAGUUGAAUUUCGGAAUCAGUGCGCUGGUCGUGCCUCUGGUAUGCACUGGUGCUACUGAUUUCUCCCUUCUGAAGAACUAUCAUGCCAUUAAUUUGGUGUGGUAGGGAAUCAGGACUGUUACUUUGAAAAAAUUAGAGUGUUUAAAGCAGGCUCACGCUUGAAUACAUUAGCAUGGAAUAAUGAAAUAGGACGUUGAUCUUAUUUUGUUGGUUUCUAGGAUUGACGUAAUGAUUAAUAGGGAUAGUUGGGGGCAUUAGUAUUCAAUUGUCAGAGGUGAAAUUCUUGGAUUUAUUGAAGACUAACUACUGCGAAAGCAUUUGCCAAGGAUGUUUUCAUUAAUCAAGAACGAAAGUUAGGGGAUCGAAGACGAUCAGAUACCGUCGUAGUCUUAACCAUAAACUAUGCCGACUAGGGAUCGGAUGAUGUUAAUUUUUUAAUGACUCAUUCGGCGCCUUACGGGAAAC
RNAcentral lists this ribosomal RNA (548 nucleotides) under uncultured Glomeromycotina. RNAcentral describes it as "SSU rRNA". It matches the Rfam family "Eukaryotic small subunit ribosomal RNA", at positions 548 to 1098 of the family's 1831-position model. Lineage: Eukaryota; Fungi; Glomeromycota. The record is from RNAcentral.